Long non-coding RNA from Culex pipiens pallens (northern house mosquito), 1025 nucleotides. RefSeq lists it as uncharacterized. The record is from RefSeq and is a predicted model, not a curated record. Lineage: Eukaryota; Metazoa; Arthropoda; Insecta; Diptera; Culicidae. The transcript has 2 exons.
UUUUACGCCGUCGCGGCUAACCUCAAUCGUGUUUUUCUGUUUGACAGCUCGCGUGCACUGUUUACAUAGACUUGGUCGUGUUCGAAACGAAAAGUGCUGGGUAUUUUUUUUAUUCAAAGUCGGUCGAAAUUGCAAAGCUAAGCGGAAACCGAAGGCGAAGUGGGCGGCAAACUUGUUUACAUGACCUGCUCGCUGAACCCGAACGAAAACGAAUCCGUGCUGCUGGCGGAAAUGGUCGAGCAAUGCCUCGUUCCGACGUUCAAGCAAAGCCCUGGGAACCGACCACCAAUGACAUGCAAAUCCCGGAAAACUACCGCACCGUCUUCCGACCGCUUAUGCUCCAGCUCCAGCUCCCGAGGACGUAGUCAAAUUUAACCUCGAGCGCUGCAACCUCGCCCUCCUCUACCAACAAAACACCGGCAGAUUCUUCAUCGUCCUGUUUGAGAAGAAAAAGAAGCUGCUCUCGGAGGUUUUCCAUCAAAAACCGCCGUCGAAGGCCUGCGAAGCGGAACCACCCCAAAAGAAGCUAAAACGCUACCACCGCAACCCGCUCAACCUCCUGACUCGGUGCCGCGAAGACAAAAAGAAGAACUGGCCCAGGAGGGUGGAGACCAAGACCUUUUUGCAUUUCGGAUUGGCCGUACUUCGGGUGCUGGUCAACUACAGUCUAGCGGACCAUGUCGUCAGGGUUGUUACGGAGAAGCCGAAAACAAAAUCCGGGCGAACUCCGCGCCACAUAAAAAAAAUACGCGACAAACACAGUCUCAUAAUUUUUUUUCUGAGAUAAAAAAAAAGUUCAAGAACAAAAAAUAAACACGUUCUACGUUUAAGACCUAUUAAAAAAAAACUCUAGAGUUGUAUUCAAUCAAUACAAUUUUAAAAUCAUUAAACGGAACAAAAUUAUUUUCGCUCGGAUGAAGUGAACCAGAAGGAAAAUCCAUAACAAAAAUUAUGGCCAAAAAAUGAAAUCCAAAAUAGAAAUUAAAACAGGAAUAUUAAAGUAAAUUAAAUUAAAAAAAUGUAAA